AUAAUAUAAUAAUAAUAAAAGAAAAAGGAAUUGAAGAGUUAAGUGUAUAUAAAAGGAAUAAAUAUGAAUUAUGUUUUAUGAGAGAGCUAUUAAUAAAAGAGGUAAAGAGUAUAAUAUAUAAUAUAAUCAAUAAGAUAAUAAAGAAUAUUAUGAGACCUAAAGGAAACUAAAGAGAAAGAACUAAGUGAACUGAAACAUCAAAGUAGCUUAAGGAAAAGAAAUUAACAAAGAUUUUCUAAGUAUUGGUGAGAGAAAAGAAAAGAGUAAAAUAAGUAUUAUUAAAAAACUAAUAGUAAGAAAUAGGGAUAAACUAAUUCUAAUACUAAAUAUUAUUAAUAAGCAUAAAAAGUACCGAGAGGGAAUGAUAAAAUAUAGUAAAAUAAUGAGCAAUGAAAGAUUUAAUAAAAUAAAUUAAUCAUGUACCUUUUGUAUAAUGGGUUAGCAAGAUAUAAUGAAUAGCAAAAUAUUAAUAAAAAAUAUUCUAAUGAAAAUGAUAAAAAGUUAUUAAUUAUAGACCCGAAAGUAGAUGAUCUUACCAUAAACAAGUGGUUAAAAUAUAAUAUAUAUUAUAUAAACGACUGAACAGGUUAAUGUUGCAAUAUUAUCUGAGGAUUUAUGGUAAGUAGUGAAAGACAAAUCUGAUCUACAGAUAGCUGGUAUUUUGUGAAAUAUAUUUCAGUAUAGCAUUAAUAUAAAAAAUUUAAAAGGUAAAGCAAUUAAUAAUUAUUGGGAUAUCGUAAUGAAAUUAUCAAUAUUAUUUAAUCUCUGAAUAUUUUAAAUAAAUAAAUAAAUAUAUAUAUUUAUAUAAAAUUAUAUUAAUAGUCAGACUAUUAGUGAUAAGAUUGAUAGUCUAAAGGGAAACAGCCCUUAUUAAUAGAUAAAGUUCCAAAGUCUAAAUUAAGUGUAAUUAAUAUUUAUUAAUUGUAAUACAAUUAGGGGAUUAGUUUGACAGUAAUUAUUCUAUGAUCAACGUGUAACAACGGGUUAAUUAAAUAAUAUAUAAUAUAUAUUAAUAAGUUAAUAAAUAAAUAAUAAUCGGAACUAAUAUAUAAUAAUAAAAUUUAGAACUGAAUCUUUAAUUAUAAUUUUAUAUUAAUUAAUAAAAUUAUAAGGUAACAAAACAUUUAAUGAAUAAAAAUCUUAAUAAAUUUAAGAUUAAAUAGUAUAAGUAAAUUAUAUUAUAUUAUAAUAAUAUAAUAAUGUAAAAUAAUAAAAAGAAUAAUAAAUAAUUAAAUAGAGAAUGCUAACAUGAGUAACGUAUAAGAGGUAAAAUCCUCUUCAUUUUAUCUAUUAGGUUUUAAUAUAAAAUCGGUCUCUAAAAUAUUAUUAGAAAGAAUAAUAUUGAUAAGUAAUUAAUAAUAUUCUAUAAAAACUAUAAAAAAAACAAUAAAUUAAGAAAAGAAUAAUAUAUAGUUCAGGAAAAAUUAGAAUAAUGAGAUACCGUAAUAAGACCGACCCAGGUAUAUUAUAAAAAAAGAAAAAUGAAUGGAAUAAGUAUGUUCAAUGAACUCGGCAAGAUAUAAAUUCAUAAGUUAGUCAAAAAGAAUGAAAAAAAAUUAUGUUAUACGACUGUUUACUAAAAACACAGCACUUUGCAAAAAUAAAUAUUGUAGUAUAAAGUGUGAAUUCUGCCCAAUGCUUAAUAAUAAAAAUAUAUAUUUAACGAUAUAUAAUAAAAAUUUAAGUAAAUGGCGGUUUUAUACUGAGAAUCAUAAUGUAGCGAAAUUCCUUGGCUACUAAAUCUAGUCCUGCAUGAAUGGAGUAACGAUAUAACAACUGUAUCAAAUAUAUUUCCAGUGAAAUUGAAUUAGCAGUGAAGAUGCUGUUUAUCUAAAGGUAGACGAGAAGACCCUAUGCAGCUUUACUAUAAUUUAAUAAGUUGUUCUUAUUUAAUUAUAUUUUAGUAUAUAAAGUAAUAUUUUGAUAUAUAAAUGAAAUACUUUUAUUUAAUUAAAUAUUAACUUAAUUAUUAAUUUAUAAAUGAAUAUAUAUCUUUAUAAAGAAUUUUAUAAUAAUAUAUUAUUAAAUAAUAUAAUAUUAAAUUAUUUAUAAUAAUGACAGCUUUAAAUUGAUAGUUUAAAUGGGGCGUUGAUUUCAAAAAAAAUAACUGAAUAUGUCCAUAUAUAAUUAUUAUAUAAAUUAAUAUAUAACAUAAUUAAUGAAUUAAUCAUUAAAAUUAUUAAAAAUAAUUAAAUUUAUUAAAAUAGAAAAAACCAUGUACAGUAAAUUUGAUCUGAAAUCAAAUAAAAAUAUAAUAUAAAAGAUUAUAAAAAAUAAAAUUAAUAUAAUAGUGGAUAACUGUGCAAUAAUUUAACACUAACAAGUGAAAAUUAUACGUAAGUAAGGUAUAAUGAACAGAUCAUAUUAAUAGUAAAAGUGAUCGAUUAACGGAUAAAAGUUACGCUAGGGAUAACAGUGUAAUAACAUGAGAGAGUAGAUAUUGUCAAUGUUGUUUGCCACCUCGAUGUCGUUUUCUCCUAUCCUAUUGGUAGUAUAAGCUAAUAAGGGUUUGACUGUUCGUCAAUUAAAAGGGGACAUGAAAUGGGUUUAAUACGUCGUGAGACAGUAUGGUUUCUAUCUUCUUUAGAAUUUAGUUUAUUAAAUUUUAUAACUUAGUACGAAAGGAUUUGUUAUAAUUAAUCCAUGAUUUGACUAUUGUUUAAUCUUAUAUUUUUUAUAUAUAUCUUUUAUUUUGAUUUAUAUUUAAAUAUUUAUUAUUUUUUUAUAUUAUUUAUAUUAGUUUUAAGCAGGUAGUUAAGUUAAAUUAAUAAUAAUUAAAUAUUGAAAGCAUUUAAAAUAUAAAAUUAAAUUUCUUAAACUAAAAUAUAUAUAUUUAAAUCAUAUAAAUAUAUAUUUAUAAAUUACAUUCGUAAUUUAUUUAUAUUAUGUUAGACUAACAUAUUAUUAGAUUCAUAUCUUUAUGGUUAUGUAUCGUCUAAUUAAUAUAAUAUUUUAUAUACACUUCUAUUCUUAUUCUUUUAUUAUUAUCUCUU
This 2993-nucleotide ribosomal RNA is filed under the name Brettanomyces bruxellensis. Its description in RNAcentral is "large subunit ribosomal RNA". The stretch from base 148 to 2613 matches the Rfam family "Bacterial large subunit ribosomal RNA". Lineage: Eukaryota; Fungi; Ascomycota; Pichiomycetes; Pichiales; Pichiaceae. The record is from RNAcentral.